AGAGUUUGAUCCUGGCUCAGAUUGAACGCUGGCGGCAUGCUUUACACAUGCAAGUCGAACGGUAGAGGGGCAACCCUUGAGAGUGGCGAACGGGUGAGUAAUGCAUCGGAACGUGCCCAGUAGUGGGGGAUAGCCCGGCGAAAGCCGGAUUAAUACCGCAUGAGACCUGAGGGUGAAAGCGGGGGACUCGCAAGAGCCUCGCGCUACUGGAGCGGCCGAUGUCAGAUUAGCUAGUUGGUGGGGUAAAGGCCUACCAAGGCGACGAUCUGUAGCUGGUCUGAGAGGACGACCAGCCACACUGGGACUGAGACACGGCCCAGACUCCUACGGGAGGCAGCAGUGGGGAAUUUUGGACAAUGGGCGCAAGCCUGAUCCAGCCAUGCCGCGUGCGGGAAGAAGGCCUUCGGGUUGUAAACCGCUUUUGUCAGGGAAGAAAUCUUCUGGGCUAAUACCCUGGGAGGAUGACGGUACCUGAAGAAUAAGCACCGGCUAACUACGUGCCAGCAGCCGCGGUAAUACGUAGGGUGCAAGCGUUAAUCGGAAUUACUGGGCGUAAAGCGUGCGCAGGCGGUUAUACAAGACAGAUGUGAAAUCCCCGGGCUCAACCUGGGAACUGCAUUUGUGACUGUAUAGCUAGAGUACGGUAGAGGGGGAUGGAAU
RNAcentral lists this ribosomal RNA (660 nucleotides) under uncultured bacterium. RNAcentral describes it as "bacterial SSU rRNA". It matches the Rfam family "Bacterial small subunit ribosomal RNA", at positions 8 to 667 of the family's 1533-position model. The record is from RNAcentral.